UACGGAGGAUCCAAGCGUUAUCCGGAAUUACUGGGCGUAAAGAGUUGCGUAGGCGGCAGAGUAAGCAAAUAGUGAAAGCGUUCGGCUCAACCGAAUAUCCAUUAUUUGAACUGCUCAGCUAGAAGAUGAGAGAGGUAGCUGGAAUUCCUAGUGUAGGAGUGAAAUCCGUAGAUAUUAGGAGGAACACCGAUGGCGUAGGCAGGCUACUGGCUCAUUCUUGACGCUAAGGCACGAAAGCAUGGGGAGCGAC
Molecule: ribosomal RNA, 250 nt
Filed under: uncultured bacterium
Lineage: Bacteria
Description: partial 16S ribosomal RNA
Rfam family: Bacterial small subunit ribosomal RNA
Source: RNAcentral